CUUCAGGUGGUAGAGUAGUACGUCGAGUUUAAGACUCGGGAAAGCGAGUAAUUCGUCCUGAAGA
This 64-nucleotide transfer RNA is filed under the name Bovicola caprae. RNAcentral's name for it is "tRNA-Leu". Lineage: Eukaryota; Metazoa; Arthropoda; Insecta; Psocodea; Bovicoliidae. The record is from RNAcentral.